Molecule: ribosomal RNA, 433 nt
Filed under: uncultured bacterium
Lineage: Bacteria
Description: partial 16S ribosomal RNA
Rfam family: Bacterial small subunit ribosomal RNA
Source: RNAcentral
AACGAACGCUGGCGGCAUGCCUAACACAUGCAAGUCGAACGAGACCUCCGGGUCUAGUGGCGCACGGGUGCGUAACGCGUGGGAACCUGCCCUUAGGUUCGGAAUAACUCCCCGAAAGGGGUGCUAAUACCGGAUAAUGUCUUCGGACCAAAGAUUUAUCGCCUUUGGAUGGGCCCGCGUUGGAUUCGCUAGUUGGUAGGGUAAAAGCCUACCAAGGCGACGAUCCAUAGCUGGUCUGAGAGGAUGAUCAGCCACACUGGGACUGAGACACGGCCCAGACUCCUACGGGAGGCAGCAGUGGGGAAUAUUGGACAAUGGGCGAAAGCCUGAUCCAGCAAUGCCGCGUGAGUGAUGAAGGCCUUAGGGUUGUAAAGCUCUUUUACCCGGGAUGAUAAUGACAGUACCGGGAGAAUAAGCUCCGGCUAACUCCGUG